Molecule: long non-coding RNA, 1157 nt
Filed under: Anser cygnoides (Swan goose)
Lineage: Eukaryota; Metazoa; Chordata; Aves; Anseriformes; Anatidae
Description: lncRNA (ENSACDG00005014746.1)
Source: RNAcentral
AUGUUAAUAUUAGAACAAAUAAGUGAUAGUGACCAUGAAUAUAAUUUUCACACAAAGUGUGAAAGAAGGUUUUUUCUACUCUACAGGGGUAGGCUUUCAUUUGGGGCAGAUUUCCAUUUGAAGUGGUGGACAGAAGGUAAACUUCAGGUUCAACACGAUCAUCUGGAGCUUAAAAGUAAACCAAUAAUUGUGACAUAUGGGUGCAAGCUUGUUUGAGCCAGUGUGCAGCGAGCAGAAAACUGUGGGCUGUUAAUGCAAGUACGUGUACAUUUUAAUGUCUAUGUGAGUGGCCAGGCAAGUAAUUUGCAGCUUUGUGUGUUUUCCUUAGCACAUAAAUACAGUCACACUUGAGACAGCAGAGCAAAGCUAAAUCCCUGCCAGCAGGUGCUGUCUUCUUGGGAGAAAUACCAUAUACUGCUAAAAGAUACUUGCACUCUAAAUAUAAUGUUUAAAUGCAGGGAAAUGUCUGCUUGUUGCAUAUCUUUGGUUAUCAUUCUUUUGUGUUUGGAGACUGGAUAGGAAUUGAAAUUGCUAUUUGGAUAAUCAUAGCUUUCUUUGGAUAGUAAUUCAGGAUUCAUGCUAUUAACCCCCUGCAUCUCUUUGGAUGUACAACAUUAAAAGCUCCUUGCCAGAUGCGGUUAACUAUUGGACAAAUGGGCUAACAAAACGAAUGCUUCCAAACAAAUACUGAGAUUAAACUGCGCAGAAAGACAUGUUAAGAUUUCAUUUUCCUUCUAUGUAUUCUUUUGAAUAGUUUAUAACUUUUCCAAGUGAUCACCUUUCACCUUGAAUUUUUGCAUAUCUGAACUCAACCAGAAAACAAAACAAAACAAAAAAAAUACAGCUAUGGAAAAUGUCAGGAAAACACUUCAGACAUAGGCAUGCUAGGAAAGGAGCUGAGAAAGCAUUUCUUCCAUUAUUGCUCUUGGGUUUUUAUUUAUUUAAACAAUGCUAUUUCCUAGGCAACUUUUGUUGGAUGCCUGAAAAUUGACAAGUGUAUAAAUACUAGUUCAGCAAAAUGCAUUUAAUCCCACACUUAUUCAGAAAACCAUUUAGAUGUGUUGAAAUCCCACUUUUGUUUCAAUAUAUGUUUUAAGUACCUAUAUCUACACACUUCUCUGAAUAAAGAUUGAUUAUUACAUUGAGUACUUAGAGCG